AGGCAGCAGUGGGGAAUAUUGCACAAUGGGCGCAAGCCUGAUGCAGCCAUGCCGCGUGUAUGAAGAAGGCCUUCGGGUUGUAAAGUACUUUCAGCGGGGAGGAAGGGAGUAAAGUUAAUACCUUUGCUCAUUGACGUUACCCGCAGAAGAAGCACCGGCUAACUCCGUGCCAGCAGCCGCGGUAAUACGGAGGGUGCAAGCGUUAAUCGGAAUUACUGGGCGUAAAGCGCACGCAGGCGGUUUGUUAAGUCAGAUGUGAAAUCCCCGGGCUCAACCUGGGAACUGCAUCUGAUACUGGCAAGCUUGAGUCUCGUAGAGGGGGGGUAGAAUUCCAGGUGUAGCGGUGAAAUGCGUAGAGAUCUGGAGGAAUACCGGUGGCGAAGGCGGCCCCCCUGGACGAAGACUGACGCUCAGGUGCGAAAGCGUGGGGAGCAAACAGGAUUAGAUACC
RNAcentral lists this ribosomal RNA (450 nucleotides) under Escherichia sp. RNAcentral's name for it is "bacterial SSU rRNA". It matches the Rfam family "Bacterial small subunit ribosomal RNA", at positions 346 to 786 of the family's 1533-position model. Lineage: Bacteria; Pseudomonadati; Pseudomonadota; Gammaproteobacteria; Enterobacterales; Enterobacteriaceae. The record is from RNAcentral.